UUUUGCCACCCUCCAGUCGCGCCGAGCCUUGCACCCGAGUCUACCGCGCGUAGGCGACACCGACAGGAUGCUGGGAUCUCCCUCGACCGCGAGUACCAGCAGCCGCUCACGCGGCUCACAGAUCAGACGUCGGUGGCCCGGCGGGGGCCUCGCGCCCCCGCCUCGGGUUCAGAUAUGACCGGCCCGGCCUUGGGAACGGCCGGAGCUUCGCGUUCCGUAGGUGAACCUGCGGAAGGAUCAUUA
This 243-nucleotide ribosomal RNA is filed under the name Umbilicaria lambii. RNAcentral describes it as "partial 18S ribosomal RNA". The record is from RNAcentral. Lineage: Eukaryota; Fungi; Ascomycota; Lecanoromycetes; Umbilicariales; Umbilicariaceae.